UUGAGCAGUGACGUUACUCGCAGAAUAAGCACCGGCUAACUCUGUGCCAGCAGCCGCGGUAAUACAGAGGGUGCAAGCGUUAAUCGGAAUUACUGGGCGUAAAGCGCGCGUAGGCGGUUGCGUAAGUUGGAUGUGAAAUCCCCGGGCUCAACCUGGGAAUUGCAUUCAAAACUGCGCGGCUAGAGUGUGGGAGAGGAAGGUAGAAUUCCAGGUGUAGCGGUGAAAUGCGUAGAUAUCUGGAGGAAUACCGAUGGCGAAGGCAGCCUUCUGGCCUAACACUGACGCUGAGGUGCGAAAGCAUGGGGAGCAAACAGGAUUAGAUACCCUGGUAGUCCAUGCCGUAAACGAUGUCUACUAGCCGUUGGGGGACUUGAUCCUUUAGUGGCGCAGCUAACGCAUUAAGUAGACCGCCUGGGGAGUACGGUCGCAAGACUAAAACUCAAAUGAAUUGACGGGGGCCCGCACAAGCGGUGGAGCAUGUGGUUUAAUUCGAUGCAACGCGAAGAACCUUACCUGGCCUUGACAUGUCUGGAAUCCUGCAGAGAUGCGGGAGUGCCUUCGGGAAUCAGAACACAGGUGCUGCAUGGCUGUCGUCAGCUCGUGUCGUGAGAUGUUGGGUUAAGUCCCGCAACGAGCGCAACCCUUGUCCUUAGUUGCCAGCACGUAAUGGUGGGAACUCUAGGGAGACUGCCGGUGACAAACCGGAGGAAGGCGGGGACGACGUCAAGUCAUCAUGGCCCUUACGGCCAGGGCUACACACGUGCUACAAUGGUCGGUACAAAGGGUUGCUAGCCCGCGAGGGUACGCCAAUCUCAAAAAGCCGAUCGUAGUCCGGAUUGGAGUCUGCAACUCGACUCCAUGAAGUCGGAAUCGCUAGUAAUCGCGGAUCAGAAUGCCGCGGUGAAUACGUUCCCGGGCCUUGUACACACCGCCCGUCACACCAUGGGAGUUUGUUGCACCAGAAGUAGGUAGCUUAACCGCAAGGAGGGCGCUUACCACGGUGUGGCCAAUGACUGGGGUGAAGUCGUAACAAGGUAGCCGUAGGGGAACCUGCGGCUG
RNAcentral lists this ribosomal RNA (1059 nucleotides) under Perlucidibaca piscinae DSM 21586. RNAcentral's name for it is "bacterial SSU rRNA". It matches the Rfam family "Bacterial small subunit ribosomal RNA", at positions 462 to 1520 of the family's 1533-position model. Lineage: Bacteria; Pseudomonadati; Pseudomonadota; Gammaproteobacteria; Pseudomonadales; Perlucidibacaceae. The record is from RNAcentral.